This 604-nucleotide ribosomal RNA is filed under the name Debaryomyces nepalensis. RNAcentral's name for it is "partial large subunit ribosomal RNA". It matches the Rfam family "Eukaryotic large subunit ribosomal RNA", at positions 91 to 712 of the family's 3401-position model. The record is from RNAcentral. Lineage: Eukaryota; Fungi; Ascomycota; Pichiomycetes; Serinales; Debaryomycetaceae.
GAGUGAAGCGGCAAAAGCUCAAAUUUGAAAUCUGGCGCCUUCGGUGUCCGAGUUGUAAUUUGAAGAAGGUAACUUUGGAGUUGGCUCUUGUCUAUGUUCCUUGGAACAGGACGUCACAGAGGGUGAGAAUCCCGUGCGAUGAGAUGCCCAAUUCUAUGUAAAGUGCUUUCGAAGAGUCGAGUUGUUUGGGAAUGCAGCUCUAAGUGGGUGGUAAAUUCCAUCUAAAGCUAAAUAUUGGCGAGAGACCGAUAGCGAACAAGUACAGUGAUGGAAAGAUGAAAAGAACUUUGAAAAGAGAGUGAAAAAGUACGUGAAAUUGUUGAAAGGGAAGGGCUUGAGAUCAGACUUGGUAUUUUGCGAUCCUUUCCUUCUUGGUUGGGUUCUCCGCAGCUUACUGGGCCAGCAUCGGUUUGGAUGGUAGGAUAAUGAUUAAGGAAUGUGGCUCUACUUCGGUGGAGUGUUAUAGCCUUGGUUGAUACUGCCUGUCUAGACCGAGGACUGCGUCUUUGACUAGGAUGCUGGCAUAAUGAUCUUAAGCCACCCGUCUUGAAACACGGACCAAGGAGUCUAACGUCUAUGCGAGUGUUUGGGUGUAAAACCCGUA